GAGGAAUAUUGGUCAAUGGGCGCGAGCCUGAACCAGCCAAGUAGCGUGCAGGAUGACGGCCCUAUGGGUUGUAAACUGCUUUUGUAUGGGGAUAAAGUCAAUCACGUGUGAUUGUUUGCAGGUACCAUACGAAUAAGGACCGGCUAAUUCCGUGCCAGCAGCCGCGGUAAUACGGAAGGUCCGGGCGUUAUCCGGAUUUAUUGGGUUUAAAGGGAGCGUAGGCCGGAGAUUAAGUGUGUUGUGAAAUGUAGACGCUCAACGUCUGACUUGCAGCGCAUACUGGUUUUCUUGAGUACGCACAACGUUGGCGGAAUUCGUCGUGUAGCGGUGAAAUGCUUAGAUAUGACGAAGAACUCCGAUUGCGAAGGCAGCUGGCGGGAGCGCAACUGACGCUUAAGCUCGAAGGUGCGGGUAUCGAACAGGAUUAGAUACCCUGGUAGUCCGCACAGUAAACGAUGGAUGCCCGCUGUUGGUACCUGGUAUCAGCGGCUAAGCGAAAGCAUUAAGCAUCCCACCUGGGGAGUACGCCGGCAACGGUG
RNAcentral lists this ribosomal RNA (539 nucleotides) under uncultured bacterium. Its description in RNAcentral is "bacterial SSU rRNA". It matches the Rfam family "Bacterial small subunit ribosomal RNA", at positions 356 to 896 of the family's 1533-position model. The record is from RNAcentral.